AAGGGAGACCUAAUUCAGGUAGGAGACGAAAAAAUAGUAGUCCCAACCAAGAAUCAAUCCCAAAAGGUCGGAGCGAGGCGAAAUUGGCUUUCAAACUAGGUUCUGGGUUCAAACAAGACCUGGAUCAGGAACAAGGGCUAUUAGCUCAGGUGGUUAGAGCGCACCCCUGAUAAGGGUGAGGUCCCUGGUUCGAGUCCAGGAUGGCCCACCUGCACAGGUGGCAAAAACAAAGAAGAGAAGCUCCGAAUCAGCACCUUAUCUUAUCUAUAGAUAAGAGAGAAUGCUGGCUCUGAGUUCAGAGUCCAGAGGAACCUUGAAAACUGCAUAGAGCUAGGUGAAAAAGCCAAAAAAGAAGACCGCAA
RNAcentral lists this transfer RNA (362 nucleotides) under uncultured Microcystis sp. RNAcentral describes it as "partial 16S-23S ribosomal RNA intergenic spacer". The stretch from base 135 to 208 matches the Rfam family "tRNA". Lineage: Bacteria; Bacillati; Cyanobacteriota; Cyanophyceae; Chroococcales; Microcystaceae. The record is from RNAcentral.